Molecule: long non-coding RNA, 944 nt
Filed under: Helianthus annuus (common sunflower)
Lineage: Eukaryota; Viridiplantae; Streptophyta; Magnoliopsida; Asterales; Asteraceae
Description: hypothetical non coding rna
Source: RNAcentral
AUUUAAAGAAAAAAAAAAAAACUGAUUAAUUGAAGACCUGAACCGGGUCUGGCCCUGCAAAUCAGCCCCAUCGCAAAACCACCAUCUCCGGUGAACCACAACCACCGCCGCCACUGCGUCAAUCAGACAACAGUUUCUACUUUUGUAAAGGUAUGUUACCUGUAUUAGAUGUCGUUGCAGGGGAUAUGAUAUUUGGCCAUCCAGAGAUUCUCAAUCUAAAAAGUGAAAGGCAACAACAUUUCUCGUAGAUGUAUUAUCUUUCGGUAGUUGUUAAUGGUGAGAUGCUGAAGGGAUGUGAGGUGUUGGAGUCCAACCGAAAGUGAUUCCAGUUUAUCAAAUUUCAAGUCGAAGCACUGUAAGAGUGGAAGGAAGAAGAAGGGACAAUUGACUAAAAUUACUGAGAUGUUCGGAACAUUACGUCAGGUGAACAAGGGAAGUUGGAAAAUUUUAAGGGCUCCGCUCUAACAAAGGCUUAUUCAACCCCCCUAUUAAUUGGUAACCAAAACUGGGAGGCCAACGCCCACAAGGAAAGAAAUCCUCUGUUCUUGGGACACUUUUCUAUUUUUUAAAUAAUUUAACAAGGUGAGCUUUGUCUGAAUGGUUGGAAAAGAAAUCAUCAUACAGAGUUAUUUUUUUGACACUGGCUUCUAUUAUGCUAUUUAAUGUUUUAUCUUGAAUACACAUCUGUUGGAUAAUCUUCACAUGACGGGUCGACUAGUGAGAAACUUGUGAAUAAACAUAUAAUGAGCUACAAAGUUCAAGAUGGUGCUGCAGAAUAUAAAGCGUGCAUCAUGCUCCUUUUUACAUUGAGCUCGAAAAUGCAGCAGUAUGGUCCUUUUCAAAAAUAUUGUUUUGUGCUGCUCAUUGUCUUGUAAAUGUUCUUGUAAGUCUUUGUAACAUGAUAUGGUUAUACAAUAAUAAGAUUUUAUGAUUUUGUGGUUGUU